This 253-nucleotide ribosomal RNA is filed under the name uncultured bacterium. RNAcentral describes it as "partial 16S ribosomal RNA". It matches the Rfam family "Bacterial small subunit ribosomal RNA", at positions 524 to 776 of the family's 1533-position model. The record is from RNAcentral.
UACAGAGGUCUCAAGCGUUGUUCGGAUUCAUUGGGCGUAAAGGGUGUGUAGGUGGCGCCGUAAGUCGGGUGUGAAAUUUCGGAGCUUAACUCCGAAACUGCAUUCGAUACUGCGGUGCUUGAGGACUGGAGAGGAGACUGGAAUUCAUGGUGUAGCAGUGAAAUGCGUAGAGAUCAUGAGGAAGACCAGUGGCGAAGGCGAAUCUCUGGACAGUUCCUGACGCUCAUGCACGAAGGCCAGGGGAGCAAACGGG